UACGUAGAGUGCGAGCGUUAAUCGGAAUUACUGGGCGUAAAGCGUGCGCAGGCGGUUAUAUAAGACAGAUGUGAAAUCCCCGGGCUCAACCUGGGAACUGCGUUUGUGACUGUAUAACUCGAGUGUGGCAGAGGGGGGUGGAAUUCCACGUGUAGCAGUGAAAUGCGUAGAGAUGUGGAGGAACACCAAUGGCGAAGGCAGCCCCCUCGGGAGUAACACUGACGCUCAUGUACGAAAGCGUGGGUAGCAAACAGGAUUAGAAA
Molecule: ribosomal RNA, 263 nt
Filed under: uncultured bacterium
Lineage: Bacteria
Description: partial 16S ribosomal RNA
Rfam family: Bacterial small subunit ribosomal RNA
Source: RNAcentral